This 253-nucleotide ribosomal RNA is filed under the name uncultured bacterium. RNAcentral describes it as "partial 16S ribosomal RNA". It matches the Rfam family "Bacterial small subunit ribosomal RNA", at positions 524 to 776 of the family's 1533-position model. The record is from RNAcentral.
UACGUAGGGUGCGAGCGUUGUCCGGAAUUAUUGGGCGUAAAGAGCUUGUAGGCGGUUUGUCGCGUCUGCCGUGAAAUUUCGGGGCUCAACCCCGAACUUGCGGUGGGUACGGGCAGACUAGAGUGUGGUAGGGGAGACUGGAAUUCCUGGUGUAGCGGUGAAAUGCGCAGAUAUCAGGAAGAACACCCGUGGCGAAGGCGGCUCUCUGGGACGGUACUGACGCUGAGACGCGAAAGCGUGGGGAGCGAACAGG